RNAcentral lists this ribosomal RNA (465 nucleotides) under Vreelandella stevensii. RNAcentral's name for it is "partial 16S ribosomal RNA". It matches the Rfam family "Bacterial small subunit ribosomal RNA", at positions 338 to 795 of the family's 1533-position model. Lineage: Bacteria; Pseudomonadati; Pseudomonadota; Gammaproteobacteria; Oceanospirillales; Halomonadaceae. The record is from RNAcentral.
CCUACGGGUGGCAGCAGUGGGGAAUAUUGGACAAUGGGCGAAAGCCUGAUCCAGCCAUGCCGCGUGUGUGAAGAAGGCCUUCGGGUUGUAAAGCACUUUCAGUGGGGAAGAAAGCCUUGGGGCUAAUACCCUCGAGGAAGGACAUCACCCACAGAAGAAGCACCGGCUAACUCCGUGCCAGCAGCCGCGGUAAUACGGAGGGUGCGUGCGUUAAUCGGAAUUACUGGGCGUAAAGCGCGCGUAGGCGGUCUGAUAAGCCGGUUGUGAAAGCCCCGGGCUCAACCUGGGAACGGCAUCCGGAACUGUCAGGCUAGAGUGCAGGAGAGGAAGGUAGAAUUCCCGGUGUAGCGGUGAAAUGCGUAGAGAUCGGGAGGAAUACCAGUGGCGAAGGCAGCCUUCUGGACUGACACUGACGCUGAGGUGCGAAAGCGUGGGUAGCAAACAGGAUUAGAUACCCGGGUAGUC